GUAGGUGGCAAGCGUUGUCCGGAAUUAUUGGGCGUAAAGCGCGCGCAGGCGGUUCUUUAAGUCUGAUGUGAAAGCCCACAGCUCAACCGUGGAGGGUCAUUGGAAACUGGAGAACUUGAGUACAGAAGAGGAAAGCGGAAUUCCACGUGUAGCGGUGAAAUGCGUAGAGAUGUGGAGGAACACCAGUGGCGAAGGCGGCUUUCUGGUCUGUAACUGACGCUGAGGCGCGAAAGCGUGGGGGGAGCAAACAGGAUUAGAUACCCUGGUAGUCCACGCCGUAAACCGAUGAGUGCUAAGUGUUAGGGGGUUUCCGCCCCCCCCCUUAGUGCUGCAGCUAACGCAUUAAGCACUCCGCCUGGGAGUACGGCCGCAAGGCUG
RNAcentral lists this ribosomal RNA (378 nucleotides) under uncultured organism. Its description in RNAcentral is "partial 16S ribosomal RNA". It matches the Rfam family "Bacterial small subunit ribosomal RNA", at positions 527 to 896 of the family's 1533-position model. The record is from RNAcentral.